GAUGAAGAACGCAGCGAAAUGCGAUAACUAAUGUGAAUUGCAGAAUUCCGUGAAUCAUCGAGUCUUUGAACGCACAUUGCGCCCCCUGGUAUUCCGGGGGGCAUGCCUGUCCGAGCGUCAUUGCUGCCCAUCAAGCACGGCUUGUGUGUUGGGUCCUCGUCCCCCCCGGGGGACGUGUCCGAAAGGCAGCGGCGGCACCGCGUCCGGUCCUCGAGCGUAUGGGGCUUUGUCACCCGCUCUGCAGGCCCGGCCGGCGCUGGCCGACGCGAAAGCAACCAUUUUUUCUCCAGGUUGACCUCGGAUCAGGUAGGGAUACCCGCUGAACUUAAGCAUAUCAAUAAGCGGAGGA
Molecule: unclassified non-coding RNA, 349 nt
Filed under: soil metagenome
Description: partial contains 5.8S ribosomal RNA, internal transcribed spacer 2, and large subunit ribosomal RNA
Rfam family: 5.8S ribosomal RNA (bases 1-120)
Source: RNAcentral